GACAACGUAGCAAAGUGGUUAACGCGGUUGAUUGCUAAUCAAUUCUCCUUGGAGGCGCGGGUUCGAAUCCCGUCGUUGUCG
RNAcentral lists this transfer RNA (81 nucleotides) under Enterocytozoon bieneusi H348. Its description in RNAcentral is "tRNA-Ser (GCT) (tRNA-Ser-GCT-1-1)". It matches the Rfam family "tRNA". Rfam says of the family: Transfer RNA (tRNA) molecules are approximately 80 nucleotides in length. Their secondary structure includes four short double-helical elements and three loops (D, anti-codon, and T loops). The record is from Rfam by way of RNAcentral. Lineage: Eukaryota; Fungi; Microsporidia; Enterocytozoonidae.